GGAUUAGAUACCCUGGUAGUCCACGCUGUAAACGAUGAGUGCUAGUUGUCGGGGGUAUCGACCCCUCCGGUAACGAAGUAAACGCGUUAAGCACUCCGCCUGGGGAGUACGGUCGCAAGAUUAAAACUCAAAGGAAUUGACGGGGGCCCGCACAAGCGGUGGAGCAUGUGGUUUAAUUCGAUGCAACGCGAAGAACCUUACCUGCCUUUGACAUCCUGAGAAUCCCAUAGAGAUAUGGGAGUGCUCUUCGGAGAACUUGGAGACAGGUGCUGCAUGGCUGUCGUCAGCUCGUGUUG
RNAcentral lists this ribosomal RNA (296 nucleotides) under uncultured bacterium. Its description in RNAcentral is "partial 16S ribosomal RNA". It matches the Rfam family "Bacterial small subunit ribosomal RNA", at positions 775 to 1067 of the family's 1533-position model. The record is from RNAcentral.